Molecule: ribosomal RNA, 433 nt
Filed under: uncultured bacterium
Lineage: Bacteria
Description: partial 16S ribosomal RNA
Rfam family: Bacterial small subunit ribosomal RNA
Source: RNAcentral
AACGAACGCUGGCGGCAUGCCUAACACAUGCAAGUCGAACGAGACCUUCGGGUCUAGUGGCGCACGGGUGCGUAACGCGUGGGAACCUGCCCUUAGGUUCGGAAUAACUCCCCGAAAGGGGUGCUAAUACCGGAUAAUGUCUUCGGACCAAAGAUUUAUCGCCUUUGGAUGGGCCCGCGUUGGAUUAGCUAGUUGGUAGGGUAAAAGCCUACCACGGCGCCGAUCCAUAGCUGGUCUGAGAGGAUGAUCAGCCACACUGGGACUGAGACACGGCCCAGACUCCUACGGGAGGCAGCAGUGGGGAAUAUUGGACAAUGGGCGAAAGCCUGAUCCAGCAAUGCCGCGUGAGUGAUGAAGGCCUUAGGGUUGUAAAGCUCUUUUACCCGGGAUGAUAAUGACAGUACCGGGAGAAUAAGCGCCGGCUAACUCCGUG